UACGUAGGUGGCAAGCGUUGUCCGGAAUCAUUGGGCGUAAAGAGCGUGUAGGCGGCCCGGUAAGUCCGCUGUGAAAGUCCAGGGCUCAACCCUGGGAUGCCGGUGGAUACUGUCGGGCUCGAGUCCGGAAGAGGAGUGUGGAAUUCCUGGUGUAGCGGUGAAAUGCGCAGAUAUCAGGAGGAACACCAAUGGCAAAGGCAGCACUCUGGGACGUGACUGACGCUGAGACGCGAAAGCGUGGGGAGCAAACAGG
This 253-nucleotide ribosomal RNA is filed under the name uncultured bacterium. RNAcentral's name for it is "partial 16S ribosomal RNA". It matches the Rfam family "Bacterial small subunit ribosomal RNA", at positions 524 to 776 of the family's 1533-position model. The record is from RNAcentral.